RNAcentral lists this ribosomal RNA (260 nucleotides) under uncultured bacterium. RNAcentral's name for it is "partial 16S ribosomal RNA". It matches the Rfam family "Bacterial small subunit ribosomal RNA", at positions 793 to 1055 of the family's 1533-position model. The record is from RNAcentral.
GUCCACGCCCUAAACGAUGAAUGCUUGGUGUUGGCCUUUCGAGGUCAGUGCCGUAGGAAACCUGAUAAGCAUUCCACCUGGGGAGUACGCUCGCAAGGGUGAAACUCAAAGGAAUUGACGGGGCCCGCACAAGCGGUGGAGCAUGUGGUUUAAUUCGAUGCAACGCGAAGAACCUUACCUGGGCUUGAACUGCCAGUGGUAGGACCCUGAAAGGGGAACGACCCGCGAGGGAUCUGGCAGAGGUGCUGCAUGGCUGUCGU